RNAcentral lists this non-coding RNA (774 nucleotides) under Pongo abelii (Sumatran orangutan). The record is from RNAcentral. Lineage: Eukaryota; Metazoa; Chordata; Mammalia; Primates; Hominidae.
CAGAAGCAGUGUGGAGCACAAAGAAUCCCUAAUCCCUGACAUUAAGAAAGAAGAAAAAUAUUCCUAGGACGAUCCUGGAGAGCAAAGGUCAUUAGCAGUCACUUGACUUUCCUUGGAUUUCUCAACUGCAGUAGUCACACGGUCUGCUGAAAAUGAAUUCUCUUUAUUUUCAUCUGAUUUCAAGGAAUUAUGGUUUUCAGUGAUUUCUUCAUUUGGAUCUAUUUUGAGACAGAGUAAUAGCAUUAAAACCCCCUUCUGAAUUAAUAAGUAUUUUAUGGGUGCAAAGGAAAUUAUAUGUCAAAAGCAAUGGAGAGAAAACAUUUGAGAAAAUGGAAGAAAUGCUGAGACACUGGAGUCUACCCUGAAAGAUAAAGUUUCACCUGAGGAGAUCUGCAAAUUAGUAGCUUUUUGCCAGAAGGCAUUCUCCAAUCUAUGCAGCUCAAGUAAUAGAAGGCUACAGCCUUGGUGGAAUGACUUGAGGGGACAGAGGACAGAGUCUAGGACCAUCAGAUCAGCCAAUAAAGAAAGAAGAGACACAGACAUGCAGAGAAAACACAGGGAAGAAGGCCACAUGGGAUGAAGGCAGAGAUGGGAAUGAUGCAGCUACAAGCCAAGGAAUGCCAUGGACUGCCAGCAACCACUAGAAAGAAGCUGGAAGAGGCAAGGAAGGAUUCUUCUGUGAUGCCUUCAGAGGAAAAUGGCCCUGCAAACACCCUGAUCUCGGACUUCUGACCUCCAGAAGUAAGAGAAUACAUUUCUGUUGUUUUAAGUUAA